RNAcentral lists this transfer RNA (69 nucleotides) under Ictidomys tridecemlineatus (thirteen-lined ground squirrel). Its description in RNAcentral is "Spermophilus tridecemlineatus (thirteen-lined ground squirrel) tRNA". It matches the Rfam family "tRNA". Rfam says of the family: Transfer RNA (tRNA) molecules are approximately 80 nucleotides in length. Their secondary structure includes four short double-helical elements and three loops (D, anti-codon, and T loops). Further hydrogen bonds mediate the characteristic L-shaped molecular structure. tRNAs have two regions of fundamental functional importance: the anti-codon, which is responsible for specific mRNA codon recognition, and the 3' end, to which the tRNAs corresponding amino acid is attached (by aminoacyl-tRNA synthetases). tRNAs cope with the degeneracy of the genetic code in two manners: having more than one tRNA (with a specific anti-codon) for a particular amino acid; and 'wobble' base-pairing, i.e. permitting non-standard base-pairing at the 3rd anti-codon position. The record is from Rfam by way of RNAcentral. Lineage: Eukaryota; Metazoa; Chordata; Mammalia; Rodentia; Sciuridae.
GGGUCUGUAGCUCAGUGGUAGAGCAUGCGCCCAGCAUGCACAAGGUCCUGGGUUCAAUCCCCAACACCA